Molecule: ribosomal RNA, 497 nt
Filed under: uncultured bacterium
Lineage: Bacteria
Description: partial 16S ribosomal RNA
Rfam family: Bacterial small subunit ribosomal RNA
Source: RNAcentral
GAUGAACGCUGGCGGCGUGCCUAAUACAUGCAAGUCGAGCGAACGGAAGAGACUCUUGCUUCUCUGAUGUUAGCGGCAGCCGGGGGAGUAACACGUGGAAACCCUCCCUAUAAGACUGGGAUAACUUCGGGAAACCUGAGCUAAUACCGGAUGAUCUUUUGAACCGCAUGGUUGAAAAGUGAAAGACGGUCUUGCUGUCACUUAUAGAUGGAUCCGCGCUGCAUUAGCUAGUUGGUAAGUUAACGGCUUACCCAGGGAACGAUGCGUAGCCGACCGGAGAGGGUGAUCGGUCACACUGGAACUGAGACACGGUCCAGAGUCCUACGGGAGGCAGCAGUAGGGAAUCUUCCGCAAUGGGCGAAAGCCUGACGGAUCAACGCGGCGUGAGUGAUGAAGGUCUUCGGAUCGUAAAACUCUGUUAUUAGGGAAGAACAUAUGUGUAAGUGACUGUGCACAGCUUGACGGUACCUAAUCAGAAAGCCACGGCUAACUACGUG